Sciurus carolinensis (gray squirrel) is the source of this 104-nucleotide small nuclear RNA. The record is from RefSeq and is a predicted model, not a curated record. NCBI's taxonomy places the organism in Eukaryota, Metazoa, Chordata, Mammalia, Rodentia, Sciuridae.
GUUCUUGUUUCAGCAGCACAUAUACUAAAAUUGAACUAAUGCAGAGAUGAGCAUGGCCCCUGUGCAAGGACAACACACAGAUUCAUGAAGCAUUCCUUUUUUCC